This 1288-nucleotide ribosomal RNA is filed under the name uncultured bacterium. Its description in RNAcentral is "partial 16S ribosomal RNA". It matches the Rfam family "Bacterial small subunit ribosomal RNA", at positions 93 to 1399 of the family's 1533-position model. The record is from RNAcentral.
GAGCGGCGGACGGGUGAGUAACGCGUGGGUAACCUGCCCUGUACACACGGAUAACAUACCGAAAGGUAUGCUAAUACGGGAUAACAUAUAAGAGUCGCAUGACUUUUAUAUCAAAGAUUUUUCGGUACAGGAUGGACCCGCGUCUGAUUAGCUUGUUGGCGGGGUAACGGCCCACCAAGGCGACGAUCAGUAGCCGGGCUGAGAGGCUGGCCGGCCACAUUGGGACUGAGACACGGCCCAAACUCCUACGGGAGGCAGCAGUGGGGGAUAUUGCACAAUGGGGGAAACCCUGAUGCAGCGACGCCGCGUGAGUGAAGAAGUAUUUCGGUAUGUAAAGCUCUAUCAGCAGGGAAGAAAAUGACGGUACCUGACUAAGAAGCCCCGGCUAACUACGUGCCAGCAGCCGCGGUAAUACGUAGGGUGCAAGCGUUAUCCGGAUUUACUGGGUGUAAAGGGCGAGUAGACGGGAGAUUAAGUCAGAUGUGAAAACUUAGGGCUCAACCUUAAGACUGCAUCUGAAACUGGUUUUCUUGAGUGCUGGAGAGGUAAGCGGAAUUCCUAGUGUAGCGGUGAAAUGUGUAGAUAUUAGGAAGAACACCAGUGGCGAAGGCGGCUUACUGGACAGUAACUGACGUUGAGGAGCGAAAGUGUGGGGAGCAAACAGGAUUAGAUACCCUGGUAGUCCACACUGUAAACGAUGGAUACUAGGUGUCGGGUGGCAGAGCCAUUCGGUGCCGCAGCAAACGCAGUAAGUAUUCCACCUGGGGAGUACGUUCGCAAGAACGAAACUCAAAGGAAUUGACGGGGACCCGCACAAGCGGUGGAGCAUGUGGUUUAAUUCGAAGCAACGCGAAGAACCUUACCAAGUCUUGACAUCCGGAUGACCGGAACUUAACCGUUCCUUCCCUUCGGGGCAUCCGAGACAGGUGGUGCAUGGUUGUCGUCAGCUCGUGUCGUGAGAUGUUGGGUUAAGUCCCGCAACGAGCGCAACCCCUAUCUUUAGUAGCCAGCAUUUGAGGUGGGCACUCUAGAGAGACUGCCAGGGAUAACCUGGAGGAAGGUGGGGAUGACGUCAAAUCACCAUGCCCCUUAUGACCAGGGCUACACACGUGCUACAAUGGCGUAAACAAAGGGAAGCGAGCCCGCGAGGGGGAGCAAAUCCCAAAAAUAACGUCUCAGUUCGGAUUGAAGUCUGCAACCCGACUUCAUGAAGCUGGAUUCGCUAGUAAUCGCGCAUCAGCCACGGCGCGGUGAAUACGUUCCCGGGCCUUGUACACACCGCCCGUCA